ACCCCAACUCUACCUAGACCGGCUCUUCCACCCCUAUACCGGUCCCAAACCGACCAUCUAGCCUAGCUACCACAACUAGUACUAUGACCUCAACCAACGGAAACUACAUAAGGUAACCACAACUCUAAAACCUACAGUAAGUACGACAGACCGUGUCUACUGAGAAGUGUCUCUGACCAGAGCCGCAGAAUAAUGAAUCGGUUUUGAUAUAUACAACACCCAGCGUUACGAAUUCAUAAAACACCACGGGAUUCUAUAACUAGAUCUGAUAUGUAUCACCGACUUGUAGAACUCUGAUUAUAAUAACAACAAGUAACUGGGCGACGGUACCCUACACUAGAUUGGCUCCAUCGUAACUACUAUCUCAACCGUCUAAUCAACAUUUCUAACCAACAAUAUCCACACGUAUGUAAAUUCACAUUAUCUGUACAAAUUGGAACGAACUCACCAAUUACAACUGCAACUUAAAAUCACUUUCACAGUACUGACUCAAGAAGUCCUUUCACUACUUCACUCUGUCGAAACACCACACGUAAUGAAUGCCGCUCUGCCGCUGGUUAGCGUGUCUACCCCAAAAAUCUCCCUACCACUUCACGCCAUUUUAUCAUAAAAAUACCCGCGCCACUUGCUAUUGGUCGAUUCAAACAUAUCACAAGACUGCCAACAUAAAAAAUGAUAUUGCCAAUAUUGUUAAAGUUGCCACUUGAAAAUAAUAUUGACUAUGGACAAACACGAUUUACUCAAAACUUUGAAUAAUUAUGGAAUUAUUAAACAGUAAAUUUAAUCGAAUCACGACAAUUGUAAUGUUAUUAUCUGUUCGUAUUUGGUUGGUACCAAAAAUUUGUAACAAUAAGAAGAGAAAAAGUGGAUUCGCAAACACAUCUCUUUAUGAGGUCUGUUAGUCAGUCAUCAACUCAUCGCCGAUUGGGCGAAUUUCAUAAUUAGUUGAUAAUAGGAACACGUCAAAACAGUUAAAUUAUGAAACCACGUCGAUCGCCUUGAAAUUAAAAUUUAGAUUGCACUUCAGGAACAAGUGAGGUCUGUCAGUCAGUCAUCACCGAUGUGGUCUCAUUGAUUUCUUGGGUGAAUUACAUAAUUUGAGAACAUGUUCGGCCAUUCUGCCCAUGACAACCUUUUCUCGUCAGUAGACAAUAAGUACCUCAGAUAUGCCGUGAUUAAGUCAGUACUUUCAUCUCUUUUAGGAUCGCUUUAUGGUGUGAUUUGAUGUAUUCCACUGAAGGUUUGAUUAGACAUUUUUAACUUUCUCGUAAAGCUUGAGCUUGAUCUUAAUAUGGGAUGGUGUUAUUAAAACUGAUUUAAAUUGUCUGUCAAUCGUCCAAGUAAAUUACUUAGUAGAAAAUUCUUUACAAUAAUGGCCUUCUUAAUGAACCAAACUUAUGAACAUUCAACAAAUUUAUGACUACAAGACUCGUAUCUUGGUUGAAAAAUGAAACCUUAAAAAUUUAUUCACUACUAUCAUUUAAGACAAAAAGGAAACUGGGAUACCGGUUCUACGUAUCGUUGAUAUUUGGCAUUGGCACGCACAACACACGGAAACGUUUAAGUGCGAAACUUGUAAUUAGAAUAAGUCUGAACCGAACGAGAAACUCGAAAGAAAUGGCCAAUACGAAGAUGUUCCAGUAAGUCUUUAAGAUAGCUUGGAUUCGAGCUCCAAAUACCUAAUCGAACAAUCCAUGUACCCACAAAUGUUUAAUCCGCCAAAUGCGGCAGUGGUCUGAGAAACACGCGGAACAACUAUUAAAAUAUCAACUUAAAAAAAAAUUAAAAAUCUCUGAGAUUAAAUCCUACAAAAGAUAUUCAUAACCAACGGCCAAGAAAGACAAUUUAGUUUUCCCAACAACACUUCCUAACGGAGCCAAUACUUUUAACGGAAAUGGAAAAUGAUCAGCAAAUCACCAAAGCCGUUGAGUCACCUCGCACAGACCCGUCAGCUCACCACAGAGUUUGUCAAAGUUAUUCGAUAAACCUGUAUUACGAAGAAAACAACCGAUUCUAUAUGACACAACAUCCAGUCAGUAGCUUGGUCCUUGGUAAUAGUAUUCCACCGUAAAACAGAAAACGUUGAAAAGAAGGAACACUGCCGAUCAGUGUCUCCCACCAUAAAACAAGCCCUUGAUCUAGUACGGUAUUAAGGAUCACUUAAAAAACAAAACUACUAUGCUAUUAUGACCUCUCAAAGUGACUGCUGUGAAAUUUAAGAAUAUUCAACGGUUCGCCAUUAACAGCGAAAUCUACGAAUAAUCAAAAACGAUUUUGAAGACAAAAAAAAAAACGGAACUAUCCAGAAACACAACAGGAGUCCGAUAAAUUGCUUAAACCCGUCUACUAUCAUCUUGGGACCACGAAAUAGUAAAGUAAAUGUUUUCAAAGAAAUACACCUGUGAAGCUUUACAAAACACAUCUGCUUCUAAUAGCGGCCUACCA
Long non-coding RNA from Maniola jurtina (meadow brown), 2445 nucleotides. RefSeq lists it as uncharacterized. The record is from RefSeq and is a predicted model, not a curated record. Lineage: Eukaryota; Metazoa; Arthropoda; Insecta; Lepidoptera; Nymphalidae. The transcript has 2 exons.